RNAcentral lists this ribosomal RNA (497 nucleotides) under uncultured bacterium. Its description in RNAcentral is "partial 16S ribosomal RNA". It matches the Rfam family "Bacterial small subunit ribosomal RNA", at positions 28 to 523 of the family's 1533-position model. The record is from RNAcentral.
GAUGAACGCUGGCGGCGUGCUUAACACAUGCAAGUCGAACGAAGCAUUUAAGACAGAUUACUUCGGUUUGAAGUUUUUUAUGACUGAGUGGCGGACGGGUGAGUAACGCGUGGGUAACCUGCCUCAUACAGGGGGAUAGCAGCUGGAAACGGCUGGUAAUACCGCAUAAGCGCACAGUACCACAUGGUACAGUGUGAAAAACUCCGGUGGUAUGAGAUGGACCCGCGUCUGAUUAGCUGGUUGGCGGGGUAACGGCCCACCAAGGCGACGAUCAGUAGCCGACCUGAGAGGGUGACCGGCCACAUUGGGACUGAGACACGGCCCAGACUCCUACGGGAGGCAGCAGUGGGGAAUAUUGCACAAUGGAGGAAACUCUGAUGCAGCGACGCCGCGUGAGUGAAGAAGUAGUUCGCUAUGUAAAGCUCUAUCAGCAGGGAAGAUAGUGACGGUACCUGACUAAGAAGCUCCGGCUAAAUACGUGCCAGCAGCCGCCGUAA